UACGUAGGGUGCGAGCGUUAAUCGGAAUUACUGGGCGUAAAGAGCGCGCAGGCGGUUCACCAAGUCAGAUGUGAAAUAGCCGGGCUUAACCCGGAGGGGUCAUUUGAAACUGGUGGACUAGAGUACAGCAGAGGAUAGCGGAAUUCCCGGUGUAGUGGUGAAAUGCGUAGAUAUCGGGAGGAACACCAGUGGCGAAGGCGGCUAUCUGGGCUGAAACUGACGCUGAGGCACGAAAGCGUGGGGAGCAAACAGG
Molecule: ribosomal RNA, 253 nt
Filed under: uncultured bacterium
Lineage: Bacteria
Description: partial 16S ribosomal RNA
Rfam family: Bacterial small subunit ribosomal RNA
Source: RNAcentral